Long non-coding RNA from Papilio xuthus (Asian swallowtail), 312 nucleotides. RefSeq lists it as uncharacterized. The transcript has 3 exons. NCBI's taxonomy places the organism in Eukaryota, Metazoa, Arthropoda, Insecta, Lepidoptera, Papilionidae. The record is from RefSeq and is a predicted model, not a curated record.
CGACGGCCGGCGGUCGCCCGCUCGCCGCUCGCCGCGUCACACAUCCAUCCCUUUCCCGCAAACCGGUGCUACACACAGUGUGAAAGAAACGCAGUUGAAAAACGCUAGGGACAGAAAGAAUAAACAAAUGUGAUGAUAUUCGGGAGUCGUGUGGGAUGUGAUCGUACGAGGGUCGCGCUCUAGACAACAUGACCUCCUGGCUCGGGACCGCCCUCGUCAUCCUCUUUGCUAUGGGAGGAGAGGGCCAGGAGCACGGGCCGGUGUUCCUGCUGGAGCCGCCGGCGCGCCUGGCCUUCGCCAACAGCACGGGCG